RNAcentral lists this transfer RNA (86 nucleotides) under Acidiferrobacteraceae bacterium. RNAcentral describes it as "tRNA-Leu". It matches the Rfam family "tRNA". Rfam says of the family: Transfer RNA (tRNA) molecules are approximately 80 nucleotides in length. The record is from RNAcentral. Lineage: Bacteria; Pseudomonadati; Pseudomonadota; Gammaproteobacteria; Acidiferrobacterales; Acidiferrobacteraceae.
GGCCGAGUGGUGGAAUUGGUAGACACGUUUGACUCAAAAUCAAAUGCCUUUUUGGCGUGGGGGUUCAAGUCCCUCCUCGGCUACCA